GGGUCUAUUGAAUUGGAGGGUGUGCUGUUCAGCGCUUUUUUGCGUGUACUCGGUACAUUUUCUUUACCCGUCGUGUGUUUCAUAUGGCUGAUUUUGGGCCGUAUGGGACUGUGGGAUCCCCUUUCAUAGGGUGAGGACGAUGGGGCGCUGACACGAUACGACCCGUCUUGAAACACGGACCAAGGAGUCCAGCCUAUCUGCGAGUCAAAGGGUGAUUAAACCUGUGGGCGCAGUGAAAGCAACAUUUUUGUUUGGAAACGAACUAAUUGCAGUUUUAUGGCGGCAUACGAUCGUUGAUUGUAGGUCCGACCUAGAGCAGAUAUGCUGGGACCCGAAAGAUGGUGAACUAUGCCGGAGUAGGGCGAAGCCAGAGGAAACUCUGGUGGAGGCUCGUAGCGGUGCUGACGUGCAAAUCGCUCGUCUGACUCGGGUAUAGGGGCGAAAGACUAAUCGAACCAUCUAGUAGCUGGUUUCCUCCGAAGUUUCUCUCAGGAUAGCAGGCCGACGAGUAAGUUGUUGUGUGCGGUAAAGCUAAUGAUUAGCGUAUUUGGGGGCGAAUAGCCUCCAGUCGAUUCUCAAACUUUAAAUGCGCACGGAUGUUGCCGCUUGGGUGGGCGGUAUCUCCAAAAACGUCGGCCUUGUGGGCCACUUUUGGUAAGCAGAACUGGCGAUACGGGAUGAACCGUAAGCGUGGUUAAGGCGCCUAAUUGUUCGCUCAUAGACCCCAAAAAAGGCGUUGAUUCAUAUAGACAGCAGGACGGUGGCCAUGGAAGUCGGAAUCCGCUAAGGAGUGUGUAAAAACUCACCUGCCGAAUGAAUUAGCCCUGAAAAUGGAUGGCGCUUAAGCGUGCAGCCGACACCACGCCGUCUGGACAAAGUGGCAAUCAGAUGAGUAGGAGGACGUGGCGGUCGUAUAGAAGCGUAUGUGCGAAUGUGCGUGGAACGGCCGCUAGUGCAGAUCUUGGUGGUAGUAGCAAAUAUUCAAAUGAGAACCUUGAAGGGUUAAGCGGGGAAGGGUUCCACGCGAACAUUGAUUGAACGUGGGUGAGUCGUUCCUAAGCCGAGUGGCAAUUGCUAAUUAUACGGCGAAAGGGAAGCAGGUUGAUAUUCCUGCACACGGAUGUGGAUGCGGUGACGCACGUCUGAGGCGAUGACGUCGGCGAUAGCUCUGGGCAGAGUUUUCUUUUCUGUUUAACCGAACCACGCGCGCUGUGUGGAAUCCGCUUGUCGGGAGAAACACGCGCGUUUGGGCAAAGCGCCGGGAUUUUUCCGGCGUCCAGACCGCUAUCGACGGCCCUUGAAAAAUCGUCUGCUGGCCAGA
Molecule: ribosomal RNA, 1321 nt
Filed under: Hymenena flabelligera
Lineage: Eukaryota; Rhodophyta; Florideophyceae; Ceramiales; Delesseriaceae
Description: LSU rRNA
Rfam family: Eukaryotic large subunit ribosomal RNA
Source: RNAcentral